GUUUUCCUGCCAUGUGAAUCAGGCCUGUGUGAACUGCACAAAUCUGCACAGAGAAGCAUUGUUUAACUUCCUUUUUGGACAAAUGGAUGAUAGAGGUGUGGAUCCAGCCUGUUCAGACUGUAUUUUUAGUCUUUGGGUGAACAGAGACGGUGCGUGCUGUGACCUGACUCCGACUGAUCAUCGGCAGCUUCAACAUCCUCCGCGCUGAGAGAGCAACAACAACUGGCUGCGAUAUCACGACCGGAGGAGUGGGUUGUUUUUGUUCGGCUCAUCCCCCCGGAGAGGCUACAGUGUCACAGAGAUAUCUGUCCUGGAUCAACCGGAACAUGUCGGUGAUGCCGUCAACACACACUGGAUGCUUGGGGAACACCUGCACGUCCUGGAACAUCCUGGAUGACCACCGCUGCCCCUGCCCGCUCUCUGCUGUGGAUCUUCUUACACUUCGGGGGAAUGUGUAUCCAAAUUGUUCCUGGUGACAACAAGCGCAUGACGGAGCGCUAAAAGAAAAUGUUCAGCCAGUCUGAGUCAGAGGAAAGACGAGGAGGAGGAGGAGGAGGAUGGAGGGAAGUUAGGAGGGGUAUAUAGCCCCGAGAGUCAGCCUACGCUGGUUCAGACCGGUUCCUGCCCCCUUCCCCUUCUCCUCUCUUCUUUCUUCUCCUCCUCCUUUCCUCUAGUAUACUCUACUCAUCUCACUGCCUCUCCUGCUUUUUCUUCCUUUCUUCUUGGGUCUUAUUUAUGUUUUUCUCCCUAGCUUCAUCCUCUUAUUUUCCACUUCUUUCCUGCUUUCUUAUUCCCUCUUUUCUUCUUUUCCUCUAAUUGUUUGCCUGCAAGUUAUCUCACAGCUCCAUGGGUAUGCACUGCUAAAACCAAAAUUACCUUGAUAUGGGUUGAAAGUGUAAAAUCCAGUUAACGUUUUGUCUUCAUUUUUAUCAGGACCAUUAGUGACACUGUUUCUGGUAUACAAUCAUGAGUUGGAGAGAGUGAAAGAAGCCAUAGAGAAAAUAAAAGUGCGAUGAGAAAUGCGUGUGUGCAUGAGAGAGAAACAAGAUGGAAAGAUGUUGUCCUUCGCAUGCCCCUUAAUGCCAGUGAACUCUUUGCAUAUAUUGGCAAACAUCACAAAGUAUGAACAUGAAAACACGUCAUGACAUACUCUGCUGCAGUGCCCUCAGUUAAAAUCACCUAAGGUUUAAACAGCACACUGAGGGGUGGGUCAGAUUUACACUGCAAGCUGUUGAUAUUCUAAACAGACAUAGAUGGACUUGGUUUCUCAGCAAAACUGCAGACUCUUGUUUUUCCUGCAGGGUUUGCUAACCCAGAGGAGGCAGGAGAUGUAAACACUGCAAGGCUGAACAAUGUUUCCUCCUCCAGGCUGACGGCCAGACGGAUUAGAGACUGUCAGCAGUGAGAUCUGAUGCAAAGCAACAGUUCAGCCAGCUGGAGUGAAACAAUGAUGGACGAUUCUUGAACCGUAGAUGUAGUUUUGCAUGUCCUGUUUUCAAUGUUUUUCAAUGAUUUUACAGACGUGCAGCACAGAGAAAAAGGAGACUACAUAAAUGGCAACAGAACUCAUUCAGACAAACAUAAAGGAUUAUAUUUUGCUCCAUAAAGAAGCUGAAGUAGACGGUGAAAUGAAUGCACACCUCCUAACAGCGACAAAUCCUUUCUUGCCCAGUUAUCUUUGGCUAUAUGCUUAACAAAAAAAACAAUACAAAAGUUGUUUUUACAAAAUCUCGGAGUGACCAUUGAGAGAAAAAAACAAAUAUCGAGACCAUGUUUUACUGCAUCAAAGUGCUCGAAAUGCUGCUACCCAUACAUCUCUAAAACACUUAUUGUCUAUGAGUUUGCUCUUCUACACCCUAAGUUAGUCAUGUUCACGCCUUAAGCCCUAAUAUGCCUUCAGAGAGGAAGGCUGGUAUGAGCUAUAACUGUUGGACAAGUUGUAAGAAAAUGGACCAAGGUUUCUGGGAAACUGUUCAUGCAUGGUGGGCAGACUGAGUGUUGAUAGCCUGCGUGGUGUGGUAUGUAAAGUUGGUUCAUUUUAGGGAAGAAUUAAUGUCAUGAUUUGAUUUUUGAUUUGAUUGUGUCAAAGUAUGUACACUUAUCUCGUGCGCAGGAAUUAACCAAAAUGUGGGACCGAAUUGUAUCACGUACUCAUGCAAAAGCAUUUCAAGCCCUCGAUGUAGUAAGACGUGGCCUUAACAUAGAUUUUUUUUCUGUCUAUGGCCACUCUGGGGCUCCAUGUGUAUAGAGGGUUAUUUGUAGGAUCCCCAUGCCAAAGUCCCAUGCACAAACAAGCAGCUCUGGUGACAGGGUGACAUUUGAUAGCUUGACUUACUAAUUAAGGCUAGUUCACAGUCUGUGUGAGGUACAAGCCAGAUUCACUGAGCGUGUUGACCAGCAAAUACACUAUCUGAUAAUGUCAUCGACCUCCAUCACUUAUUUAAGAGCAAGGCCUUCCUGUUGUUUAUCAUGUUGAUUUUUUUGUCCUUUUAUUUGCCCUCAUCAUCCUUAUUUGGCUGUAGGGAUAUAUUCUCACACUCUGGAACUGACUGGAUCUGACCUGUAUCAUAUAUGUAUAGAAUAAUUUGUGUCUGUUAUGUUUUUUUUCACCACUAAAGUUUAACCCAUUCAAGGUUCUUUGCAAAGACAUGCACUCCUCCCUUACUGAAAAAUACAGAAUCUGUGAAAACAUAAUUACAUCUGAAAGGUUUAUCUGUUGGAUGCAAGAUGACUGAAAAGUCCAUUCUCAGUGUAUGUGCACUGGAAGUUU
This is a long non-coding RNA of Chelmon rostratus (copperband butterflyfish), 2770 nucleotides long. RefSeq lists it as uncharacterized. The record is from RefSeq and is a predicted model, not a curated record. The transcript has 5 exons. NCBI's taxonomy places the organism in Eukaryota, Metazoa, Chordata, Actinopteri, Chaetodontiformes, Chaetodontidae.